Molecule: RNA transcript, 2070 nt
Organism: Lepisosteus oculatus (spotted gar)
Lineage: Eukaryota; Metazoa; Chordata; Actinopteri; Semionotiformes; Lepisosteidae
Gene name: MORN repeat-containing protein 1
Source: RefSeq, a predicted model, not a curated record
UUUCCGUUGCUAAGGACUCUGUGCAGAGAGGAAGAUGGCUGCCUCCCAGAAACAGCAGAGAAACUCCCAGUACUACGUUGGAGAAGUGAAAAGCCUCCUUCGAGACGGAUACGGUUUGUACGUUUACCCGAACAGUUUCUUUCGUUACGAGGGACAAUGGAAAUUGGGGAAAAAACAUGGUCAUGGAAAACUGGUGAUGAAAGAUGGAAGUUAUUACGAGGGCGAGUUUGUCAAUGGAGAAAUAGAAGGGAAUGGGUUGAGAUAUUGGGCUUGCUCAGGUAAUACCUACUCAGGGCAGUUUAACUCUGGAGAGCUGCAUGGGUAUGGGGUGAUGCAGUAUGGCACUGGUGAAAGGUUUGAAGGGGAGUUUUCCUUUGGAUUAAGAGAAGGACAUGGGUUUCUUGUAGACAAGGAAGGUCAAAUCUAUGAAGGUUCUUUUCACAAAAAUAAGAAACACGGGGAAGGACAAAUGACUUACAGAAAUGGGGAUCAGUAUGAAGGAGACUGGAUUCUUGACCAAAGACAAGGUCAUGGAGUGAUGCACUUUGCAGAUGGAUCAAUCUAUGAGGGACAAUGGAGAAACAAUCUUUUUAAUGGUCAGGGGACAAUGAUUCACUGCUCUGGUGUCAUCUAUGAAGGCUUGUGGACAAGUGGGCAGCCUGCUGGUGGUGCAUCUAAGAUUGUAAUUGAAGGAGGAGAUAUGCUUGAAGUGUUCCAGAGAUCACCUUUUACUCUUGAAGUACAACUUCAAAAUGAAGAGGAGGAAAUCAUUACAGGUGAGAAUGGUCGCGUUUUGCAGAUUUGGGCUGGUGUUCGCAAAGAGGAAGUCCCUCCCACCUCUUCCUGCACCACACUAUUAAAGCUGAUUGAAGACAUAGAAGAGAAACCUGUUCUAACACCAUUCGGGUUUGAGUGUAUUAGCUACCCUUUGAUGGAGCGAGUCUUUGAAAGCGAUGACUCCAGAGGCUCAGCCCCCCUUGCUGUGGCUAAAUCCGGAUUUGUGCAGACGGACUCGCCAAUCCCUGAGGGGGAAUCGCAGUCUGGAAGUGGAUCAGACACCGUGGCACUCGGAGGGGGUACCCCUAGCUACCUGGAUGGAAAAACAGAUGUUUCAGAUCAGAUUGGAGAGAGUGAAGCUACUGCUAUAACUGAAUCAAUUUCAGGUUUACGUAGGUUUUCAGAGCUAGAAGAAGAUUGGCACCCACCUCCAGCCAAUCAGCGAGUUGAAGCGGGACGUGCGAAAUUCCAGAAUCUCAUGUUAGCCCCUCCACCUCCCAACUACCAGCCUUUUCUACUGGUGGAUGAAACGGAGAAGCAAAAAGGAGCGAAGAAGCCAGCUGGCAAAGGGCCUUCAGAAAAAGCAGAGAAACUGACAUCAUCCCAGGAGAAGAAUGCUGACAGCAGCAGAUCCAGUGUUGGAAGCCGGCUGGGAGUUAGCCCGAAGAAAGAUGCUGCAGACAACAGGACCGUUAGACCAGAUGACCAUUGGAUUAUAGCCACUACUCAUGAAGACUGAUUGACCUAUGUGAAUGAAAUCAAAGACCAAACUGGUGACAACCAGCAUGAGUGCCAAAGCAAGUAUGAAAGAGAACCUCUUCCAUGAUGACAAGAUGUUACACUGAACUCUCACCCAGAAAAACCUCCUACAAACAGGAGCUUUUGGGAUGGGCAGGCUGCUCUGAAGGCCUCUUGGCUGAGGGCAACCUCCUGGCCAUUGGACGAUGAAGGAGGGAUGAAGAAGAUGAAUUUGAAGGAGAAAAGGGCACUGCAUUACGCCUUUGCAACCAUGUACUAGAUGGUGGCUUUCAGUUGGCCUGAGCCUUCGUUUUCACGUUCAUGUAUUGGUUUCGGAAUUUGUGAUUAUAGUGUGUUUUCUGUAGGAGUCAAAUGGAGUUGAGUCCAUUGCUCACUGAGGAUUUGGAGAAGGACAGAAGCAAUGUACUGUAUCUCUGUGUUUCGGUUAUUGACUGCAGGCUUGAACAAUGCAACCUCAAUGUUCCCAUAGCGACUGUAAUAUAAAACUGCUCUCAGUUAGGUUUCCAUUGGUGGUGAUGGAGGGGAGUCCCCAUU